GGAGCCCUUUGCUCAGGC
Molecule: unclassified non-coding RNA, 18 nt
Filed under: Mus musculus (house mouse)
Lineage: Eukaryota; Metazoa; Chordata; Mammalia; Rodentia; Muridae
Description: oocyte_clustered_small_RNA11595
Source: RNAcentral